RNAcentral lists this long non-coding RNA (1687 nucleotides) under Aplysia californica (California sea hare). RNAcentral describes it as "uncharacterized LOC118478071, transcript variant X2". Lineage: Eukaryota; Metazoa; Mollusca; Gastropoda; Aplysiida; Aplysiidae. The record is from RNAcentral.
AUCUCCUGGACACGAGGAGAGGGCAAAGGUCAACCAGAAACUGGAGGAGGAAUUCCUGCUGGCCCAGACACUGGAGAUGAGGGUGUUUCUAAAAAAAUUGCACAGGAGUUGCGCACUGUUCCCUGCCGUAUGUGAGAGACAAUCCCUGUGGUCUGAGGUCGGUCAAGCCAGUGCCAGUAUGGAGUCAGUAUCUCACUGAACACUCCUCUCUACCUGUGUGUAAGGAUGGAACUGUGUCAGAAGUCUCCAGAAGGCCAGAACCUGACAGAAACGUUCCGCUAUCUGUCAGGAGAACAUUCAUGACGCUGACAUGAAGGAGACAUCAACGCUGCUUACUCAGAGAUGGUCAUCAACUGGAUCUGUCAGAUUUGACUGGACGAAAAAGGAAACAGACUAAGAGAUGGGUAUACCUGACUGGAUAUAUGUGGAUCAGGAAAACCCUUCAUGUAUCUCCCCAAGUCGUUGUUGAUGCUGUGAUUCUUCAGCCUUUGCGGUCAGAUUGAUUGUGUGUGGCAGGGGUUGCCAAGCUACAGCCUAGGGGCCAGAUCCAGCCCAGGAGAUGAGUUUGACCGGCCACCGUGCCACCAUGUGGGACAAAUACUUACAGGAUGUUUGUACUCAGGACUUGCUCACCUAAAUAAUGUUAGUCAUUUCAUUGAACUCUACAGUACAUGUACAAUUUAAAUGUGCUUUUAAAGAUGUUGCAUCUUUGACCUUAUUUGUCUCGCUCUUGCAAGGAAUUAUUUUACUGACCCAGAAAGUUUUCUGUUCCAUUAUUAUUUUUCUUAAAUGUGGAUCAUCACUGCAGCUUGCCGUAUACGGUAUAUUGUCAAUUUAUAUCUAUAGUCACUGAACCUGUUGAGCAAUUUCAGUGAAAGAUAGAUGUUCCUUUAGAUGAUAUUAACAUGUCUAUUGAUAUUAUAUAACAAUAAUAUGUUAUGUAAAAGUAAGUAUAUGGGUUUAUUGCCCCUAUCAACGCUAUUACAGGGAUGCCAAAUCUCCGUUUUUUCCGGCUUUUUCUGGUUUUUUCCUACUCUUGCAAAGGGAAGGGGAAUGGUAAGAGAAAAGUUUUUGUUUGUUCAUGGAAAGAUUUCACAAGGUUGGUUACAGGUGAGAUGUGGCACUCCACUCAUUUUCAGGUUUUUUUUCAAAAACCAUUUGGCCUCCCUGCUAUUAGGUUAUUUAAGAGGCAGGAUUUCCUCAUUUAAUGUCCAUUUUCCAUAAAGGCUCUCAACCCAUUUUGCCAGGUCCCAUGGAAAACGGACAUUAAAUUAGGAGGUCCUGUUUCUGGAUAAUAGUGUAGAUUUGAUUUUUGUAUUAGCUGGUGAAAAAAGAAUGUACUGUAGAACAAAGUGACCACGAGUUCUUUAAUUGCCACUUACACACAUUGUUAGGUGUUUGUGUCACUAAAUGUAAUUCUAGAAACGUCCAGAAUAAUUGGAGUUUCCUUUUUCUUCUCCCCUAUUUUCCUCAGGAGGUCAUUGUGUAUACAUGAAGAUCAAAGCACGCCUUUUAAAUAAUCUAAAUUGUCCCGAUAGGGGUGUAAAAAACUUUUACAUUUAAAGCAAAAACCCUGAGGCAGGUCAGAUGAGCCAUAUUGUAGAACGUCAAUUGUCUUUUAGCUCGAGUAGUUGAAAUUCUGUUUGUUGAGUUUGCUGGUAGGGUAGAUUUGUGAAAACAAUUUUUU